AGUGAAUAGAUACCCGGGUAGUCCACGCCCUAAACGAUGUCAACUAGGUGUUGGGUGGGUAAAACCAUUUAGUACCGUAGCUAAACGCGUGAAAGUUGACCGCCUGGGGAGGUACGGCCGCAAGGUUAAAACUACAAAGGAAUUGACGGGGACCCGGCACAAGCGGUGGGAUGAUGUGGAUUAAUUCGAUGCAACGCGAAAAAACCUUAACCUACCCUUGUACAUGCCAGGAACUUGCCAGAGAUGGCUUGGUGCCCGAAACGGGAGCCUGGACACAGGUGCUGCAUGGCUGUCGUCAGCUCGUGUCGUGAGAUGUUGGGUUAAGUCCCGCAACGAGCGCAACCCUUGUCGUUAAUUGCCAUCAUUUGG
Molecule: ribosomal RNA, 369 nt
Filed under: uncultured bacterium
Lineage: Bacteria
Description: bacterial SSU rRNA
Rfam family: Bacterial small subunit ribosomal RNA
Source: RNAcentral